GGUUCGGCGGGGUUCAUGCGGGCGGCGCUGCGGGUUGUGGGGGCUCUGCUCGGUACCGCGUGGCGGAACGCGGCCUGCAGAGCCAUGGCCGGGCACAGCUCCGCCUCCACCGCCGGGAUCAUCAUUAUCGGGGAUGAGAUCCUCAAGGGCCACACUCAGGACACGAACUCCUUCUUCAUGUGCCGGCGGCUGCGUGCGCUGGGUGUGCGCGUGGCCCGCGUCUCCGUGGUGCCCGACGAGGUGGACGCCAUCGCUGCUGAAGUGGCCGCCUUCGCCUCCCGCUUCACCUUCGUGCUGACCUCGGGGGGCAUCGGCCCCACGCACGACGACGUCACCUUCGAGGCCGUGGCCAAAGCUUUUGGGGAGAAAGUGGCCCCGCACCCGGAGCUGGUGGCCCUGGUGCGUAAGUUCUUUGGCAAGACAGACAUGCAGUGCCCUGAGAUGAAGCUGGCUCGCAUCCCUGAGUCCUCACGCCUCAACUAUGGCACGGACCGACUCACAGGCAGUGCCUUCAAGUAUCCUCUGGUUAGUGUCCGUAACGUCUACAUCUUCCCGGGCAUCCCAGCACUGAUGGAACGUGCCCUGGAUGGCCUCAGCCAUCUUUUCCGCAGUGAGCAGACCUGCUUCCACUCCCGUGCCAUCUACGUGGCAGCUGAUGAGGUGCAGAUUGCUCCCGUGCUGGAUCAGGCCAACGCCAGCUUUCAGGGCCGCGUGAGUUUGGGUUCCUACCCGGACUGGGCCAACAAUUAUUACCGUGUGAAGCUGACGCUGGACUCGGAGUCGGAGCAGCACCUGGAGGAGGCACACGGCUUCCUGAUGGAGAAGCUGCCUCCUGGCGUGGUGGUGCCGUUGGUGACUGACUGCGUCUCGAGGGCUUCCACUGAGGUCUAUGCCCUGGCUGAGUCAGGCUUGGCUCUGGGACAGAAGGUGGCAGCAGCACUGAGGACUAUUGAGGAGGCUUUGGAGCGGUACAGCCUAGCGCAGCUCUGCGUGGGUUUCAACGGGGGCAAGGACUGCACAGCCCUGCUGCACCUGGUCCACGCUGCCCUGGAGAGGCGGUACCCGGAGAGGCAGGAGAAGCUGAAGGUGCUCUACAUCCGCAUCGUGUCUCCCUUCCCUGAAAUGGAGCAGUUCAUCCAGGCCACCGUGCGGAGGUACAAGAUCCAGCUGUGCACGGUGGAGGGCUCCAUCCGGGACGCCCUGCUCACCCUGAAGGAGCAGCAGCCGCAGCUGGAGGCCGUCCUGAUGGGCACGCGGCGCACCGACCCCUACUCGUGCACCCUGACCCCCAUGUGCAUGACGGACCCCGACUGGCCCCAGUACAUGAGGGUGAACCCACUGCUGGACUGGACAUACAGGGACAUCUGGGAGUUCCUGCGCAAGCUCUUUGUCCCCUACUGCAUCCUCUACGACAAGGGCUACACCUCCCUGGGGAGCAUGGCCAACACAAUGAAGAACCCAGCGCUGCUCUACACCGACGCCAGCGGCCGAGAGAGCUACAGACCCGCCUACGAGCUGGAAAACGAGGAGGACGAGCGCACGUCGCGCCGGUGAGAGCUCGGGGAGCCGCGCUGAGACCGAUGGCGUCCACAGGUGUCAUCCCCGCUGCUGGGGACGGCGCUAAAUAAAGCCGCUGCGCUCAGCGUCUCGCCCGAGCUUGGCUGCGCCGCUCCCUUGGUGCUGUGCGGGGCUCCGGCAGGAGGAACGAGAGCGGCCGCGUCCGAACAAAAGCGACCCCAGGCGGUGCCUCCCCCCCUCCCCCCGUUCCCCACGUGCGCGUCAUUGUGGCGGCUUUUGAAGCGCAGAGAAUGGAGCAAUUUCCAGCGCUCGCCCGGGGCUCCGCGUGGCCGCGCCGAUCCCUCCCCGCUCAGAUCCCGUUGCCAUGCGUCUCCUACGAACCGCGACAGCCCGGCCACCGGGCACCGUGAAGCGGAUGGCGCAGGCCGUGGAGCUGCCGGCACCCGGCGACGCGUCCCUGGGGCUGCGGCUCGGCCGCUGGGUGCUGCGGGUGCUGCGGGAGUGCGUUUACCUCCUGCUGUGCAGCUGGUGCAUCCGGGAGCUGCUGGAGUAGGGCACGGCUCCUUCCCCACGGUGGGACUGCCGGGACGCUGGACUCUGUUGCCCCUCGAUGGCUCUGCGCUGCCCGGUUUGGACCCGAUGGACCCCCAGCACCAGGACCCGGCCCACCCUGAGCCCCCCCGGCACCACGACCCCAAUAAAUCUGAGCAGUGUGUGAGCGGCUGCGUGUGUCGAGGAC
RNA transcript from Centrocercus urophasianus (Greater sage-grouse), 2257 nucleotides. It is a transcript of the gene named FAD synthase-like, with no coding region annotated. The record is from RefSeq and is a predicted model, not a curated record. Lineage: Eukaryota; Metazoa; Chordata; Aves; Galliformes; Phasianidae. The transcript has 8 exons.